GGAAUAUUGGACAAUGGGGGCAACCCUGAUCCAGCCAUGCCGCGUGAGUGAAGAAGGCCUUCGGGUUGUAAAGCUCUUUUGGCGGGGACGAUGAUGACGGUACCCGCAGAAUAAGCCCCGGCUAACUCCGUGCAAGCAGCCGCGGUAAGACGAAGGGGGCUAGCGUUGUUCGGAAUUACUGGGCGUAAAGGGCGCGUAGGCGGUCUUGUCAGUCAGGCGUGAAAGCCCUGGGCUCAACCUGGGAGGUGCGCUUGAUACUGCAAGGCUUGAGUGCAGGAGAGGAUGGUGGAAUUCCCAGUGUAGAGGUGAAAUUCGUAGAUAUUGGGAAGAACACCGGUGGCGAAGGCGGCCAUCUGGACUGCAACUGACGCUGAGGCGCGAAAGCGUGGGGAGCAAAC
RNAcentral lists this ribosomal RNA (398 nucleotides) under uncultured bacterium. Its description in RNAcentral is "bacterial SSU rRNA". It matches the Rfam family "Bacterial small subunit ribosomal RNA", at positions 358 to 773 of the family's 1533-position model. The record is from RNAcentral.